This 2220-nucleotide long non-coding RNA is filed under the name Triticum aestivum (bread wheat). Its description in RNAcentral is "long non-coding RNA (TAES_LNC014694)". The record is from RNAcentral. Lineage: Eukaryota; Viridiplantae; Streptophyta; Magnoliopsida; Poales; Poaceae.
CUGCCGCCUUGGGUGAUGCCCACUACAAUGGACCCAUGCUAUAGUUAUAUGGCUGGGGUGGACAAUCCCGAAAAGAUUAGGGAAGAUCCUAGGUACGUGUGGCUGUCUGUUACUAUUGCCUAGGUACAAUCCUAUAGAUUAUUUUUUUUGCUAAUUUUGCAUAGUGAUAAAUUUUUACAAGAAGAUGCAAAAUAUUUGUUGUCAUAUAGCCUAUCUGCGAACAUAAAUGCUCUAGAUCUAUUUAUAAUACUUUUGUAUUACUUAGAUUUUAUCAAGCUUUUAAGCAGUGCUCUAGCAGGAACGUUAAUGUUGUUGCUAUUUUUCUCUUGGCAUGUAAGGAGUGAAGUCGGUUCCUAUUGCUCAUCUUGGUGAAGCUUGAUUGGGUGUCUACUUGGAUAGAAAACAAGAUGAACUAACCACGUUAGGUACUAUUGAAUUCAGGUACAUACAUUGAUCCUUAAUCUAAUUUUGUCUACUGUUUUUUUGAAAUGAUGCAAUGGAAUUUCAUUAUGUUGCUGUAACUAUGAUAGUAAACUAUCAUAAUAGCAAGAAGAAAAUGUCAUAACUGCUCACAUAACCAAGACUAAUUUUGUUUCUGAAGUUAUUUAUUUGUGUAAUGUUAGUCACAGCGAAAAACACCACAACUGCUUGGCCGGUUGACUAGCUCAGUCCGGUCAUUCAACAUCCUACAUGUCACGCUUUGUAAAUUAGCAGCCUUGGUCACUGAGAGAUUUGUUAUUUUCUUUUGCUCACCAUUUUUUAUGUGUUUUAAAUUGGAGAAAAUACGAUGUAGCGCUCCUCCAUGCAGUGUGUGUAGCCCAGACAACGGUCUAUGAUGCAGGAUCCUUAGUUUUCGAGUGAUUUGUCUCUCAUGUAGUUCAAAUAUAUGGUGGCAUAAUUUAGAUUGCUAUUUUCCACAUCUUCCUUCUUAGCCAAAUUUAUGAUUGUUUUCAGUCCCUGUGAUAGUUGAUAGUGUAGGCUGCAGAUAUGGUGACUACGACCAUGAAGCCAUGAUGACACCAUGUGUCUUACUCUUAUCUGUGUUUCAGUCUAGAAGGAAAUAUUCCUGUGAGAAAUAUCAUAUUGCUUUGAAUCUGAUAAUAUAUUUCCAUGCACAUAGACAAUUUUCUUCAGUUAUUUACAGUUCAGAUUUUGAUUCCUAGGGAAGCUAAUAUAGUUUUUCUUAUGCAAAUGGCUACAGGUUGCAGACUUGCAGUCUUACUUUCUGAGUAUAUUUAACUCCAGUUUUCAUAUUUCUCUCUGAUUAUGUAAAGCCUAUGAAUUUAGUGUUCAACACAAAUGUAAUACUAUUCUACAUAUGGUCACUGAUUCUCCAAAGAAAUUAAAAACCCAUUUAUACUGAAUGUGCUCUAAUGUAACUGACCUCUGAUAUACGGCCAUGAGCCAUAUUAGAUCUUCCACGUGAUUGCAAUGGUGUUUUUAGCAGUACUUUGAAGUUUGGACAUAAUAGAAUUUUCUGCUUAAACACAUAGCCUUAUGGGAUAAGCUUUCAUGUACGUAAUCCCAAAAGUUGAGCUGAUGCUAGAUGAGGCUAAAUGUGCCUAAAAACUGAGGUGCUAUGCAUAUAAAGAACAUUCCAAGUUUCGCCGCAUUAUGAAUAUUUUUGUAUGUUUACCAAAUGUACCUUGCAGACCACUUCAUCUCCAUGACCUCUCCCUGUCGUGCAGAUUAUGCCCACAAAAUUUUGCUUUGACUCUAGCCGGGAACUCAUGCAUACAUCCAUCCACUACUGCACUUUAUAGGCUCCCUGUACUCGGGCUCCGAUGAUAGCAAGUAGAGACUCACAACCAGACACAUGAAGACCACCAGCGAUUUGCCGCUAACCGGCUACCUCCUCUAUUAGAUGACAAAAGUAUGACUGCUUGAGAUCGAAACAUCCAUGCAAUCUGCACGUUGGAUCAAAGAAUAAAGAGAAAUUUGGGGGAAUAUCAAAUGUGAGUUCCCCGCAUCUACUCUUCUUUUAGUUACUUUGGUGUCUUCCUGGAAGUUGUAUGAUCUGAAUGUCUGAUGUUCUGUACGAGAGCAAAGCCAGAUAUGAUUUGGCUUUGUUGCAUGUCUCCAUUAGACUUAGCUGUUUCUCCCCCGAAUUGAUAGAUGACGACUCAGUUAAUAAUGCGGUAUCAAAUAAUUUGUGGCAGCUCUAGGUUUUGAAUGGUUUGAUUACUGGAGUUCUUAUUAUUUUCCUACUAGGCACGUAUG